Molecule: ribosomal RNA, 327 nt
Filed under: uncultured bacterium
Lineage: Bacteria
Description: bacterial SSU rRNA
Rfam family: Bacterial small subunit ribosomal RNA
Source: RNAcentral
AGGGUUCGAUUAUGGCUCAGGAUGAACGCUGGCGGCGUGCUUAACACAUGCAAGUCGAACGAUUAACCCAUCUUCGGAUGGUUAUAAAGUGGCGAACGGGUGAGUAACACGUGACCAACCUGCCUUUCACAUUGGGAUAACUUAGAGAAAUCUAAGCUAAUACCAAAUACUCUUCUUGGAUCGCAUGAUCCAAGAAGGAAAGCUCCGGCGGUGAAAGAUGGGGUCGCGGCCCAUUAGGUAGUUGGUGGGGUAGAGGCCUACCAAGCCAAUGAUGGGUAGCCGGGUUGAGAGACCGACCGGCCACAUUGGGACUGAGAUACGGCCCAG